RNAcentral lists this ribosomal RNA (483 nucleotides) under uncultured bacterium. RNAcentral describes it as "partial 16S ribosomal RNA". It matches the Rfam family "Bacterial small subunit ribosomal RNA", at positions 28 to 523 of the family's 1533-position model. The record is from RNAcentral.
GAUGAACGCUGGCGACGUGCUUAACACAUGCAAGUCGAACGAGAGAAGAUCGGUGCUUGCACUGAUCCGAUCGAGUGGCGGACGGGUGAGUAUCGCGUGGGUAACCUGUCUCAUACAGGGGAAUAACAGUUGGAAACGGCAGCUAAAACCGCAUAAGCGCACUGUAUCGCAUGAGACAGUGUGAAAAACUCCGGUGGUAUGAGAUGGACCCGCGUCUGAUUAGCUAGUUGGUGAGGUAACGGCCACCAAGGCAACGAUCAGUAGCCGGCCGGAGAGGGUGAACAGCCACAUUGGGACUAAGACACGGCCCAAACUCAUACGGGAGGCAGCAGUGGGGAAUAUUGCACAAUGGGGGAAACCCUGAUGCAGCGACGCCGCGUGAGUGAUGAAGUAUUUCGGUAUGUAAAGCUCUAUCAGCAGGGAAGAUAAUGACGGUACCUGACUAAGAAGCACCGGCUAAAUACGUGCCAGCCGCCGCGGUAA